GAGAAAACACUCUAGUAACUCUUCCCUGGCUUGUGGUGGUUUUGAAGGGAAGUAAAUAAUUCCCCAUUUCACAAUCUCAAGGAAAACACCUGUGAAAGAGGAAAGGGCCUAAUGAAGGAAUCAGCCUGAAUAUGCUUUAAGAUGAUGCAUGCAGAUAAAAGAUGAAUGCUGCCUUAGAAACUUAAAUACUUAAAUUGUAAAAAAAAAAAAAAACAAACAAAAAAAAAACAAA
Molecule: long non-coding RNA, 232 nt
Organism: Haemorhous mexicanus (house finch)
Lineage: Eukaryota; Metazoa; Chordata; Aves; Passeriformes; Fringillidae
Exons: 3
Source: RefSeq, a predicted model, not a curated record